GUAGGGGGCGAGCGUUGUCCGGAUUCAUUGGGCGUAAAGCGCGCGCAGGCGGCCCGGUAAGUCGGAUGUGAAAUCUCACGGCUCAACCGUGAAACUGCAUUCGAUACUGUCGGGCUAGAGGCAGGUAGGGGAGAUCGGAAUUCCUGGUGUAGCGGUGAAAUGCGCAGAUAUCAGGAGGAACACCGGUGGCGAAGGCGGAUCUCUGGGCCUGUCCUGACGCUCAGGCGCGAAAGCUAGGGGAGCGAACAGGAUUAGAUACCCUGGUAGUCCUAGCCGUAAACGAUGGGUGCUAGGUGUGGGCGGCAUCAACCCUGUCCGUGCCGAAGCUAACGCAUUAAGCACCCCGCCUGGGGAGUACGGCCGCAAGGCUA
Molecule: ribosomal RNA, 371 nt
Filed under: uncultured bacterium
Lineage: Bacteria
Description: bacterial SSU rRNA
Rfam family: Bacterial small subunit ribosomal RNA
Source: RNAcentral